UACGUAGGGUGCGAGCGUUGUCCGGAAUCAUUGGGCGUAAAGGGCGCGUAGGCGGCUUUGUAAGUCCGUUGUGAAAUCCCUCGGCUCAACCGAGGAACUGCGACGGAUACUGCUUGGCUUGAGUCCCGGAGAGGGUAGCGGAAUUCCCAGUGUAGCGGUGAAAUGCGUAGAUAUUGGGAGGAACAUCGGUGGCGAAGGCGGCUACCUGGACGGGUACUGACGCUGAUGCGCGAAAGCUAGGGGAGCAAACAGG
This 253-nucleotide ribosomal RNA is filed under the name uncultured bacterium. Its description in RNAcentral is "partial 16S ribosomal RNA". It matches the Rfam family "Bacterial small subunit ribosomal RNA", at positions 524 to 776 of the family's 1533-position model. The record is from RNAcentral.